UAAUACGUAGGGAGCGAGCGUUGUCCGGAUUUAUUGGGCGUAAAGCGAGCGUAGGCGGUUCGAUAAGUCGGAUGUGAAAACUCCAAGCUCAACUUGGAGCCUGCAUCCGAAACUGUCGUGACUUGAGUCUGGUAGGGGAACACGGAAUACCUGGUGUAGCGGUGAAAUGCUUAGAUAUCAGGUGGAACACCAGUGGCGAAGGCGGUGUUCUGGGCCAGUACUGACGCUGAUGCUCGAAAGCGUGGGGAGCGAACAGGAUUAGAUACCCUGGUAGUCCACGCUGUAAACGUUGCACACUAGGUGUGGGGACCUAUCGACGGUUUCCGUGCCGUAGCUAACGCAUUAAGUGUGCCGCCUGGGGAGUACGGUCGCAAGACUA
RNAcentral lists this ribosomal RNA (379 nucleotides) under uncultured bacterium. RNAcentral's name for it is "bacterial SSU rRNA". It matches the Rfam family "Bacterial small subunit ribosomal RNA", at positions 521 to 896 of the family's 1533-position model. The record is from RNAcentral.